GAGGUGGAGAUAGAGGUGGACGUGGAGGUGGAGAUCAGGUGGAGGUGGAGAUGGAGGAGGAGGUAGAGAUGAGGUUGAGAUAGAGGUGGAGAUGAGGUGGAGAUGGAGAUGGAGAUGAGGUAGAGAUGGAGAUAGAGGUGGAGAUGGAGAUGGAGAUGAGGUAGAGAUGGAGAUAGAGGUGGAGAUGAGGUAGAGAUGAAGGUGGAGAUGGAGGUGGAUGUGGAGAAGGAGGUAGAAAUGAGGUUGAGAUAGAGGUGGAGAUGAGGUGGAGAUAGAGGUGGGAAUAGAGGUGGGAAUAGAGGUGGAGAUAGAGGUGGAGAUGGAGAUGAGGGGGAGAUAGAGGUGGAGAUGGAGGUGGAGAUGGAGGUGGAGAUGGAGGUGGAGAUAGAGGUGUGAGAAAGAGUGAACAUCAAAGUGUGAGUGGAUGUAGCCCUGCGAAGCUCAGAGUUUCAGCCCCUGUGACCCCUAAUGAGGGAUAUCAGCUCUCGCCACUGGCCCAUACUAAUGAGCUAAUGAGCGGGGGGUGCCGCACCUCUGGCCGCACCUCUGGCCGCAACUACUCCAUUAAUCAGACUGGAGAAACAGCCAUCAGC
Molecule: long non-coding RNA, 593 nt
Organism: Oncorhynchus tshawytscha (Chinook salmon)
Lineage: Eukaryota; Metazoa; Chordata; Actinopteri; Salmoniformes; Salmonidae
Source: Ensembl